RNAcentral lists this transfer RNA (76 nucleotides) under Thermoprotei archaeon. RNAcentral's name for it is "tRNA-Arg". It matches the Rfam family "tRNA". From Rfam's summary of the family: Transfer RNA (tRNA) molecules are approximately 80 nucleotides in length. Their secondary structure includes four short double-helical elements and three loops (D, anti-codon, and T loops). Lineage: Archaea; Thermoproteati; Thermoproteota; Thermoprotei. RNAcentral also lists the same sequence under 3 other names. The record is from RNAcentral.
GGGCCCGUGGCCCAUUAUGGAUUAGGGCGCAGGCCUUCGAAGCCUGUAUCAGUGGGUUCGAAUCCCACCGGGCCCG